AGAGUGUGAUCCUGGCUCUUAACGAACGCUGGCGGCGUGCUUAACACAUGCACGUCGAACGCGAAAGGGACUUCGGUCCUGAGUACAGUGGCGCACGGGUGAGUAACGCGUGAGUGAUCUACCCCUGUAUUUGGGAUAACUAUGGGAAACUGUAGCUAAUACCGGAUACGUUCAUGUAAUUGCGGUUAUGUGAAGAAAGAUGGCCUCUGACUUAAGCUAUUGUACAGGGAGGAGCUUGCGUACCAUUAGCUACUUGGUAGGGUAAUGGCCUACCAAGGCAACGAUGGUUAGCGGGUCUGAGAGGAUGAUCCGCCUCACUGGAACUGAAACACGGACCAGACUCCUACGGGAGGCAGCAAUGAGGAAUAUUGCGCAAUGGGGGCAACCCUGACGCAACGACGCCGCGUGGAUGAUGAAGGCCUUCGGGUCCCAAAAUCCUGUCGGAUGGGAAGAAGUGUUAUGUGGCUAAUAUCCAUGUAAUUUGACGGUACCAUCUAAGGAAGCACCGGCUAACUCCGUGCCAGCAGCCGCGGUAAUACGGAGGGUUCAAGCGUUGUUCGGAAUUACUGGGCGUAAAGCGCGCGUAGGCGGUUUGUUAAGUCAGAUGUGAAAGCCCAGGGCUUAACCCUGGACGUGCAUUUGAAACUGGCAGACUUGAGUAUUGGAGGGGUGGUGGAAUUACCGGUGUAGAUGUGAAAUUCGUAGAUAUCGGGAGGAAUACCGGUGGCAAAGCAACCCCCUGCCCAACACUGACUCUGAUGCUGCGAACGCUGCGAUCAACAGAUAGAUACCCUGGUAGUC
This 801-nucleotide ribosomal RNA is filed under the name uncultured bacterium. RNAcentral describes it as "bacterial SSU rRNA". It matches the Rfam family "Bacterial small subunit ribosomal RNA", at positions 8 to 795 of the family's 1533-position model. The record is from RNAcentral.